This 264-nucleotide ribosomal RNA is filed under the name uncultured bacterium. RNAcentral's name for it is "partial 16S ribosomal RNA". It matches the Rfam family "Bacterial small subunit ribosomal RNA", at positions 524 to 787 of the family's 1533-position model. The record is from RNAcentral.
UACGGAGGGUGCGAGCGUUAUCCGGAAUCACUGGGUUUAAAGGGUGCGUAGGCGGCGCGGUAAGUCAGGGGUGAAAGCUUCCCGCUCAACGGGAGAGGUGCCCUUGAUACUGCCGGGCUUGAAUUGGGCCGAGGCCGGCGGAACGCGGCAUGUAGCGGUGAAAUGCUUAGAUAUGCCGCAGAACACCGAUUGCGAAGGCAGCCGGCCAGGCCUCGAUUGACGCUGAGGCACGAAAGCGUGGGGAGCGAACAGGAUUAGAUACCC